Molecule: long non-coding RNA, 2713 nt
Organism: Photinus pyralis (common eastern firefly)
Lineage: Eukaryota; Metazoa; Arthropoda; Insecta; Coleoptera; Lampyridae
Exons: 2
Source: RefSeq, a predicted model, not a curated record
CUACCCCCCCGCCAAGGAAUUUGUCCUACAAUUUAAGUAACAGGCGAAGUAAAGUAAAUGUGCUUUUGGAGUAUCAACUCUUAUCAUCGGAUAAAUUGGAUUCGAAUGGAAUGGCAGCACAUUCUACGACAAAGCUGUGAUCGUUUCAACGUCUUAAACGGCGAUGAGAAUCAUCCCUUUCAUCUACAACAGGUAAUUAUGUAGGUCAAUAACGAGGUCAAUAAUAAACAUCUACCUCUCGAUCUACCUCAUAUCCCAAAAGUGCACGACUUGAUUGAUUUGAUUAAGCGAAGGGUAACCUGAUUAUAAAUCCAUAGAAAGUUGUGCAUAGAUCGAUCGGCCACCCUAUGUUGUACCUAUCAUGCAUGCAUACGAAAAUGAAACGUAAAUAAAUCAAUCAAUCGUUUUAAACGUGUCAUAAGGCAUCAUAAUACUAAUAAGCCCAAUGGUACCUACGUAGCAUUUCGAAACUAACCCUAUCGAUACGAUAUAACAAGCAUGAUGCAACUGUAAUGACUGUUUGUACUGACAAAUUUAAGUAGGACUUAAAAUCCAUGGCAACGAUUAUUGCGACGAUGGUUUUAAGCUAAGCUCCGCUUAAAUUUGUCACUACAAAAUGGCCAUGAAAGAUUUAAAAACUUACCCCAAGUCAAUGUAUCCAUGGAAUGUUAGGCGUCUUGAUCGAAAAAGAGGCCACGCAAUUGAAAAAUGCGACUUCAGUUUCUACUUCCACUAAAUUUGUUUAACUAACAACUUAUAAGCUCCGAAACGAACGAUGUGCUUUUCCGAGGUCGGUUUAUAACUUUUAAGAGUUGAUUUUUAAUAUAUCGCAAACAAUUCGUAAUUUGAAAAACCGAAUGCAAGGAACAUCGAAACAACACGCAAUCGCGAGUUCAAAUUCAAAGGGGACGCCAUCUUGAUUCAAAUCUUUAAACGGUUAAAAACACCGAUUUAUUUAACGAUCGACCGAAACUAGCGACGUGCCACAAUUUUCCGCGUGCUUAAUUUUACUUUUGCGGGAUUUAUUUUAUUACAACCGUUCAUAAUUUCAAAGAAAACGUAGAAAAACUAGGUAGGUACGCGUGUACACCGCGCAAGCGACUGCAACGAACUACCAGGUCACGUGAUGAUAAGACAUGACGUCAUGGCACGUGACCGAUUUCAAAACGCGUUCACAGUGGUCUGGCUUAUUAUUUCGCUUAAUUUAGGAAAAUUUUAUUGAAUAGAACUCGUUCCAAUAGCCGUGAUUUUUUCGAGUCCUAGCGCCGAAAAUUGCCAACUCGAAAUACAUGCCUCGUAUAAAAACAAGUUUUGAACAUAAGAGAGACCAACCUAUUCGAGUGCCUUUUGGAAAUAUAAUGGCAUAUCUUUAGGCAAUAUCAGUAUCAUAAUAUCUUCUUCUUUACAGCCCAGAACAUAUUUUAUCAAUUAAUAAGUCACACUUAGGGUACGGUCCAAAAUUUACUCCAGUUACUGUUUUUACCGAAAGUAAUUUUGUGGCGGUUAUAAAAUUGCUGACAUUUACUGCGAAUGCUUCUUUAAAAUCUUGCAACAAUCAAUACGCAUGCAUGAGAUUUACUGCAAAAUGCUCAUGUUGCUUCUACCAAUUUGGUGGUAAAAGCUGAGUAAACUGAGUAAAGGUUGUAGUAAACAUAAACAAUGCGACUGACACUAAAUAAUGCUGCAUCCAUGACUAAGGGAACUUUCCUUCUACGCAAAUUUGUUACUGCAAUAAACUCUUCAUCAUCGGAGCUACUGCUUUCUAAUAUAUUUUGGAUAACGUUAUGCAGAACAAUAAAUUCAUUAAUGGCCCCCAUUUCGGAAUAACAGUAAACAAAAUUUCACACCUCAAUAGUAUAAUCAUUCAUGGGCUGUUUAUAAAGUAAACAAACAAAUGCGAGGUUAGAAUUUGCUCAUGAUCCUGAUGUUGAGCUAAAGAUUGGUUAAAAAUAAAAUUUUACUGUAAGCAUUUGUAGUAAAAUAUAAUUUUAAACCGAGUUACUUCAAUUGCAAUGCUCCAAAUGCACGUAAAUUGUAGAGUAGAGUAAAUUUUCGACCGUACCCUUAAUCUGAUUCUUGAGUUUACUUUGAAAACAAUCACCUGUUGAAAUGCAAGUGAUAAGGAAAUCAAGAGAGAUUGUGGAAGAAGUGCCGCAAUGGCUGAACGAAUUGGGAUGCGAAUCCUGGUACCCGAUAAGGGCCCUCCCUGUGCCUGUCGCAUUUUGUAAAAUGUUUACAACGAGAGUGCCUUUUUACUUGGUUUGCUUAUGACUAGCUAUCCUUGUUCGUAAAGAUGGCAGGUGUCAGAGAAGAGAUGUCAACAACGAGGGUAUUUACAGUGAAGAUCGGUUCCCAAUCCUUGGCAGCAAGCCAAAUGGAAGUGGUAAAGUUGGUGGCCUUGCUACGGGUAAAGGUUUCGUCAAACUGAUGCAGUGGAACUGUUUGUACAGCUAAGAAACGUAGGUCUAGCGCACAGAAUGAAGUUUAACGAAGUAACGCAGAAUUGACACUCUUCCCGGAAGUACCAGGAUAUACAAUUAAAUCGUCAUAAUCGUAGUAUGAAUGUUCUGCAAGUCAGUGAUCAUUUCUCGGCAUUAAAUGUUGAAUUGAACGCAGCUAACAUAACCUACUUCAACGGGUUAAUAUGAAGGGUAGCAAAAUAACAAGAGCCCUAUCGUGCCUGAUAAAUAAAUCGGAAACUAAAUAUACCGCA